AGAAUCAACGCUGGCGGCGUGCCUAACACAUGCAAGUCGCACGGAGAAAGGGGUAGACGAAUACCCUGAGUAAAGUGGCGCACGGGUGAGUAACACGUGAAUUAUCUACCUCCGAGUGGGGAAUAACUGAGAGAAAUCUUAGCUAAUACCGCAUAACACUUACGAGUCAAAGCAGCAAUGCGCUUGGAGAGGAGUUCGCGGCCGAUUAGUUAGUUGGCGGGGUAAUGGCCCACCAAGACGAUGAUCGGUA
Molecule: ribosomal RNA, 250 nt
Filed under: uncultured bacterium
Lineage: Bacteria
Description: partial small subunit ribosomal RNA
Rfam family: Bacterial small subunit ribosomal RNA
Source: RNAcentral